UACGUAGGCAGCAAGCGUUGUUCGGAGUUACUGGGCGUAAAGGGUGUGUAGGCGGUUGCUUAAGUUUGGGGUGAAAUCUCCCGGCUCAACUGGGAGGGUGCGCCGAAUACUGAGUGACUCGAGUGCGGGAGAGGAAAGUGGAAUUCCUGGUGUAGCGGUGAAAUGCGUAGAUAUCAGGAGGAAUACCGGUGGUGUAGACGGCUCUCUGGACCGCAACUGACGCUGAGACACGAAAGCGUGGGUAGCAAACAGG
RNAcentral lists this ribosomal RNA (253 nucleotides) under uncultured bacterium. Its description in RNAcentral is "partial 16S ribosomal RNA". It matches the Rfam family "Bacterial small subunit ribosomal RNA", at positions 524 to 776 of the family's 1533-position model. The record is from RNAcentral.